UUGGAAGCGCGAGGCGGUGCCCGUGUGAGGGCUGUGGUGAGCGAGGACAGCGUCGAGGUUCGGCGCUUCCGUCGGCUCACAGAUCGAGCCGUGCUGCCCGCCCCGCUGGAAUGAGCUGAGACUGAGCGCUGCGGCCCUUGGCCGGAGGGCAUUCACAACCAGGACAGGCCCAGGAGGUCACAGGCGCGGUUUCCGAGGCGUUGAGUCCCGUGCCAGUAGCAGCAGGGCCGUCGAGGAAAGCCCCUCAGCCUCCACUUGAGCCACUUGCGUGAGGCAGCAGUGGGGUGCUGAACAUUCCUUAUGGAACCGGGCGGUACUGCACGCGUACAGCACGAGCUGGGAGAGCUACACAAAGCCUGAGGUCACCGUCCUUUGGCAGCGGUAACGACAGGUGGCAGUGCUGUGCCUGAGGUGCAGAACGCCGUCUGAGGAACAGCUCUGAUUCCCGCCCCGCCGGGGACGCAGCAGCGGGAACGCAGCGUUUGUACGCACGAACUCCGUGAAGCUGAGGGGCAAGUUUCAUAUUUUAAUCACGAGCUGAUUUCUGCAACAGCACAUCUGCUGGAAUGUGAACAUACACAUCUCUGUGUGUGUGCCAAAAAACUCAGCUACACAGAACUGGCCCUGUGCCACUAACAUUGCUGCAGUCAGACAGCAACCAACUUGAAUUCCUGCUCCUCACAGCCGGAAUGUUGUCCAAAAGGCAAAGAUGCACCAAUGUCUGUUUGAGCCCGGGGUACAGCAGGAACUGGGGAUAAUGAGACAUGUGAGCAGAAGAAGGGUGGGAGGAAUAAAAAAGUGAUUUAAUGGUGCAUGACGUGAAUGGAGAAAAAUACAGUCUAAGAAUAAAUUGCUAAAGAAGAAUAGAAAGCAGAGACACUCAUCUCCCUCCAGCAACGAUGAAAUCUAAGGAUAACAGGAAAUAAAGCAAUUAAGGUCAAGACUGGUAUCAAGCUUCUGUUCAGAUCAGCAUGCUCAUCAGAAUCCAAGCUGCUAAACGAGGGAGAGGGCAAUGAGCAAACAACUGCAUGGUGUUCAGCUGCCUGCCGAGUUAAAGCACAGCGAUAAUAGCGGGGGGAAAAGAAGUACCUGACGAGAGAAAGACCCAACUAUGGAUGGCAGAAGGGGAAGUGAAGAUGGCAGAAGUGUGGGAAACCUCACAGCCAGUCAAAGCCAACAACACUGGUGCCUACAUCUUUCCCCCACCCUGUGUUUCAACCACAUUCAUCACAACCUAGUGCGCAG
RNAcentral lists this long non-coding RNA (1245 nucleotides) under Gallus gallus (chicken). RNAcentral's name for it is "long non-coding RNA NONGGAT001553". The record is from RNAcentral. Lineage: Eukaryota; Metazoa; Chordata; Aves; Galliformes; Phasianidae.